This 62-nucleotide transfer RNA is filed under the name Microcondylaea bonellii. Its description in RNAcentral is "Unio bonellii tRNA-Met". Lineage: Eukaryota; Metazoa; Mollusca; Bivalvia; Unionida; Unionidae. The record is from RNAcentral.
AACAAGAUAAGCUAACCUAAGCUAGUGGGCCCAUAACCCAAAAAUGACAUUUUUCUCUUGUU